GACGAACGCUGGCGGCGUGCUUAACACAUGCAAGUCGAACGGAAAGGCCCCUUUGGGGGUACUCUAGUGGCGAACGGGUGAGUAACACGUGAGUAACCUGCCCUUGACUUCGGGAUAACUUCAGGAAACUGGGGCUAAUACCGGAUAGGAAUCCUUUCUGCAUGGUGGGGGUUGGAAAGCGUCGGCGGUUUUUGCUGGACUCGCUGGUUAACAGCUUGUUGGUGGGGUAGUGGAUUACCAAGGCUUUGACGGGUAGCCGGCCUGAGAGGGCGACCGGCCACACUGGGACUGAGAUACGGCCCCGACACCUAAGCGGGGCCGAAGGGCGGAAUCUUGACCAAUGGGCGGCAGCCUGAUGCAGCAACGCCGCGUGCGGGAUGACGGCCUUCGGGUUGUAAACCGCUUUCAGCAGGGGCGAAGCUUGUGGUGACGGUACCUGCAGAAGAAGCACCGGCUAACUACGUG
RNAcentral lists this ribosomal RNA (465 nucleotides) under uncultured bacterium. RNAcentral describes it as "partial 16S ribosomal RNA". It matches the Rfam family "Bacterial small subunit ribosomal RNA", at positions 28 to 507 of the family's 1533-position model. The record is from RNAcentral.